RNAcentral lists this ribosomal RNA (497 nucleotides) under uncultured bacterium. RNAcentral describes it as "partial 16S ribosomal RNA". It matches the Rfam family "Bacterial small subunit ribosomal RNA", at positions 28 to 507 of the family's 1533-position model. The record is from RNAcentral.
GACGAACGCUGGCGGCGUGCCUAAUACAUGCAAGUUGAGCGCUGAAGGUUGGUACUUGUACCAACUGGAUGAGCAGCGAACGGGUGAGUAACGCGUGGGGAAUCUGCCUUUGAGCGGGGGACAACAUUUGGAAACGAAUGCUAAUACCGCAUAAAAACUUUAAACACAAGUUUUAAGUUUGAAAGAUGCAAUUGCAUCACUCAAAGAUGAUCCCGCGUUGUAUUAGCUAGUUGGUGAGGUAAAGGCUCACCAAGGCGAUGAUACAUAGCCGACCUGAGAGGGUGAUCGGCCACAUUGGGACUGAGACACGGCCCAAACUCCUGCGGGAGGCAGCAGUAGGGAAUCUUCGGCAAUGGACGAAAGUCUGACCGAGCAACGCUGCGUGAGUGAAGAAGGUUUUCGGAUCGUAAAACUCUGUUGGUAGAGAAGAACGUUGGUGAGAGUGGAAAGCUCAUCAAGUGACGGUAACUACCCAGAAAGGGACGGCUAACUACGUG